AAUGAACGCUGGCGGCGUGCUUAACACAUGCAAGUCGAACGAGAAAGUUUUCUUCGGAAAGCGAGUACAGUGGCAGACGGGUGAGUAUCGCGUGGGCGACCUACCUUCAAGUGGGGGAUAACUGGCCGAAAGGACAGCUAAUACCGCAUAACAUUCCUGUGACUAAAGAGUGGGAAUCAAAGCUGGGGAUCUUCGGACCUGGUGCUAGAAGAGGGGCUUGCGUCUGAUUAGCUAGUUGGUGGGGUAAUGGCCUACCAAGGCGACGAUCAGUAGCCGACCUGAGAGGGUGAUCGGCCACACUGGAACUGAGACACGGUCCAG
Molecule: ribosomal RNA, 321 nt
Filed under: uncultured bacterium
Lineage: Bacteria
Description: bacterial SSU rRNA
Rfam family: Bacterial small subunit ribosomal RNA
Source: RNAcentral